UGGGGAAUUUUGGAUAAUGGGGGAAACCCUGAUCCAGCCAUCCCGCGUGUGCGAUGAAGGCCUUCGGGUUGUAAAGCACUUUUUGCAGGAAAGAAACGUCAUGGGUUAAUACCCCGUGAAACUGACGGUACCUGCAGAAUAAGCACCGGCUAACUACGUGCCAGCAGCCGCGGUAAUACGUAGGGUGCAAGCGUUAAUCGGAAUUACUGGGCGUAAAGCGUGCGCAGGCGGUUCGGAAAGAAAGAUGUGAAAUCCCAGAGCUCAACUUUGGAACUGCAUUUUUAACUACCGGGCUAGAGUGUGUCAGAGGGAGGUGGAAUUCCGCGUGUAGCAGUGAAAUGCGUAGAUAUGCGGAGGAACACCGAUGGCGAAGGCAGCCUCCUGGGAUAACACUGACGCUCAUGCACGAAAGCGUGGGGAGCAAACAGG
Molecule: ribosomal RNA, 429 nt
Filed under: Acidobacteriota bacterium
Lineage: Bacteria; Pseudomonadati; Acidobacteriota
Description: Acidobacteria bacterium partial 16S ribosomal RNA
Rfam family: Bacterial small subunit ribosomal RNA
Source: RNAcentral